RNAcentral lists this ribosomal RNA (411 nucleotides) under Mesovelia horvathi. Its description in RNAcentral is "partial 16S ribosomal RNA". Lineage: Eukaryota; Metazoa; Arthropoda; Insecta; Hemiptera; Mesoveliidae. The record is from RNAcentral.
AUUUGACCUGCUCUAUGAUUUAUUAAAUGGCUGCAGUAUUUUAACUGUACUAAGGUAGCAUAAUAAUUUGUCUUUUAAUUGAAGGCUAGAAUGAAUGGUUUGAUGAAAAAUUAACUUUUUUAUUUUAAUAUUUUGAAUUUAAUUUUUUAGUUAAAAAGCUAAAAUUUUUUUAUAGGACGAGAAGACCCUAUAGAAUUUUAUUUUUUUUAUAUUUUUACUUUUUUUGUUAAUUUUAUUUUAAAAUUAUAUUAAUAAUUUUGUUGGGGUGAUGUAAAAAUUUUUUUAACUUUUUAUUUAUUUUUCAUUAAUUUAUGUUUUUAUGAUCCUAAUUUUUAGAUUAAAAGAUUAAAUUACCUUAGGGAUAACAGCGUUAUUUUUUUUGAUAGUUCUUAUUGAUGAAAAAGUUUGCGA